CAUGCAAGUCGAGCGCCCGUAGCAAUACGGGAGCGGCAGACGGGAGAGUAACACGUGGGAACGUGCCCUUCAGUUCGGAACAACCCAGGGAAACUUGGGCUAAUACCGGAUACGCCCUUCGGGGGAAAGAUUUAUCGCUGAUGGAGCGGCCCGCGUCUGAUUAGCUAGUUGGUGAGGUAACGGCUCACCAAGGCGACGAUCAGUAGCUGGUCUGAGAGGAUGAUCAGCCUCACUGGGACUGAGACACGGCCCAGACUCCUACGGGAGGCAGCAGUGGGGAAUAUUGGACAAUGGGCGCAAGCCUGAUCCAGCCAUGCCGCGUGAGUGAUGAAGGCCUUAGGGUUGUAAAGCUCUUUCGGCGGGGAAGAUAAUGACGGUACCCGCAUAAGAAGCCCCGGCUAACUUCGUGCCAGCAGCCGCGGUAAUACGAAGGGGGCUAGCGUUGCUCGGAAUCACUGGGCGUAAAGCGCACGUAGGCGGACUCUUAAGUCAGGGGUGAAAUCCUGGAGCUCAACUCCAGAACUGCCUUUGAUACUGGGAGUCUUGAGUUCGGGAGAGGUGAGUGGAACUGCGAGUGUAGAGGUGAAAUUCGUAGAUAUUCGCAAGAACACCAGUGGCGAAGGCGGCUCACUGGCCCGAUACUGACGCUGA
This 651-nucleotide ribosomal RNA is filed under the name uncultured bacterium. RNAcentral describes it as "bacterial SSU rRNA". It matches the Rfam family "Bacterial small subunit ribosomal RNA", at positions 54 to 749 of the family's 1533-position model. The record is from RNAcentral.